Molecule: long non-coding RNA, 589 nt
Filed under: Nicotiana benthamiana
Lineage: Eukaryota; Viridiplantae; Streptophyta; Magnoliopsida; Solanales; Solanaceae
Description: long non-coding RNA (NBEN_LNC021337)
Source: RNAcentral
UUUUUUAUGGGAUGAUUAUGGACUAAGUGAAGAUACGUCAUAGCUUGAAAAGUUUAUGGUUGUAUGUGUUAUUGGAGCAGUAGAGGUCCGGAAAAGGAUUUGAUUCCUACUUUUCUAGAUAGCCCAAAGAAUAAUUAGAGUUAAGAUGGUUAGUAAGGCCAUUUUGUUAUUCAUAAUAGUCUAUUGAGUUGGUGUUGUACAUAGUAAGAGGAUUUCUGGUUCAAGUGGUUUGGAGGGAUAUGUAUGUUGAAUUCAUCCCAUAAGGCGUUUGCUUUUGGGCAUGUCAUGAAUAAGUGGUCAUUUGUUUCAAUAAUAUUGGGCAUGAAGCACAAGUGUUCAAUCGAAUAAUGUUUCGAUUAAAAAGGUUUUCUGUUGUAUGUAAUUUGAUAUUGAAAAGUAGCCACAAGAAGAACUUUAUUUUAUUCAAGGCGCAGAUUUUUCACAUCUAUUGAUAAGAGAGGGAAAAUGGGAGGUGAGAAUUAUUAGUCUUGUAAGUACAUAUGGUAGGCUGAUUUUAUAGAGAAUGAAUCUAAGGUUGUAUUUUUCCAAAAGAAGGAAUCUAUUUUGGGUUCUGAAUCUUGAAUGUAGG